This 464-nucleotide ribosomal RNA is filed under the name uncultured bacterium. RNAcentral describes it as "partial 16S ribosomal RNA". It matches the Rfam family "Bacterial small subunit ribosomal RNA", at positions 28 to 506 of the family's 1533-position model. The record is from RNAcentral.
GACGAACGCUGGCGGCGUGCUUAACACAUGCAAGUCGUACGGUAAGGCCCUUUCGGGGGUACACGAGUGGCGAACGGGUGAGUAACACGUGAGUAACCUGCCCACAACUUUGGGAUAACGCUAGGAAACUGGUGCUAAUACUGGAUAUGUGCUCCUGCUGCAUGGUGGGGGUUGGAAAGCUCCGGCGGUUGUGGAUGGACUCGCGGCCUAUCAGCUUGUUGGUGGGGUAGUGGCCUACCAAGGCGGCGACGGGUAGCCGGCCUGAGAGGGUGACCGGCCACAUUGGGACUGAGAUACGGCCCAGACUCCUACGGGAGGCAGCAGUGGGGAAUAUUGCACAAUGGGCGCAAGCCUGAUGCAGCAACGCCGCGUGCGGGAUGACGGCCUUCGGGUUGUAAACCGCUUUCAGCAGGGACGAAGCUUUUUGUGACGGUACCUGCAGAAGAAGCACCGGAUAACUACGU